This 499-nucleotide ribosomal RNA is filed under the name uncultured Glomeromycotina. RNAcentral's name for it is "partial small subunit ribosomal RNA". It matches the Rfam family "Eukaryotic small subunit ribosomal RNA", at positions 591 to 1092 of the family's 1831-position model. Lineage: Eukaryota; Fungi; Glomeromycota. The record is from RNAcentral.
CCAAUAGCGUAUAUUAAAGUUGUUGCAGUUAAAAAGCUCGUAGUUGAAUUUCGGGACCAUCAUGUCGGUCGUGCCUCGGUACGUACUGGCAUUGUUGGUUUCUCCCUUCUGACGAACCAUGAUGUCAUUUAUUUGGUGUUGUGGGGAAUCAGGACUGUUACUUUGAAAAAAUUAGAGUGUUUAAAGCAGGCUCACGCUUGAAUACAUUAGCAUGGAAUAAUGAAAUAGGACGUUUGAUUCUAUUUUGUUGGUUUCUAGGAUCGACGUAAUGAUUAAUAGGGAUAGUUGGGGGCAUUAGUAUUCAAUUGUCAGAGGUGAAAUUCUUGGAUUUAUUGAAGACUAACUACUGCGAAAGCAUUUGCCAAGGAUGUUUGCAUUAAUCAAGAACGAAAGUUAGGGGAUCGAAGACGAUCAGAUACCGUCGUAGUCUUAACCAUAAACUAUGCCGACUAGGGAUCGGAUGAUGUUAAUUUUUUAAUGACUCAUUCGGCGCCUUACG